AUCCAGCUGGCGAGUCCCAAAAAGGACGAAACACGCGUCCUGUAC
This 45-nucleotide non-coding RNA is filed under the name Schistosoma curassoni. Lineage: Eukaryota; Metazoa; Platyhelminthes; Trematoda; Strigeidida; Schistosomatidae. The record is from RNAcentral.